RNAcentral lists this ribosomal RNA (674 nucleotides) under Heterocapsa sp. Pdam3N. Its description in RNAcentral is "bacterial LSU rRNA". It matches the Rfam family "Bacterial large subunit ribosomal RNA", at positions 1932 to 2618 of the family's 2925-position model. The record is from RNAcentral. Lineage: Eukaryota; Dinophyceae; Peridiniales; Heterocapsaceae.
GGCUGUAACUAUAACGGUCCCAAGGUAGCAAAUUUCCUUGUCGUCUAAAUAACGACCUGCAUGAAAGAUAGAACGAUUCGAUAGCUCUCUUGCAUAGAUGUGGUGGUAAAAUAUUAGGUAGUGUGAAGAUACUCUAACAACGUUAUAGGACAAAAAGACCCUGUGAACCUUUAUAGGGAUAAAAUUUAGUAGAGGUUCUAUAUUAAUAUAUCGCUUCGGCUGGGAUGGAAAAAGUUUGAGAUACCAUUCAUUGAGAAUAGAAUAAGAUAAAUCAGUUAGUUAUGCACAUCAUGUGCUCACGCAAUGCGCGUUUUAUAUUUGUCAAAUGUUAGAUGGGCUAUUUAAUUGGGGCGAUAACCUUCUUUAAUCAAACAAAAGGUGAACAAAGCUAUUGAUACGGGCUUUGUUAAAGGACGAAUAAGUACAAAGAUAGAUCUGUGGCUUAAUGGUAUUCCUUUGUUUGAUCCAGUAUUUAAAUGGUAUCUUAGUGACCUUAAAAUUAAUUUAUCAAAUAAAAGCUACUCAAGGGAUAACAGGCUUAAUUAAAAUUAGAGCUCACAUUAAAUUUGCCAGUUUGGCACCUCGAUGUCGGCUUAUCUUUUCAAAAAUCUGUAUUAAGAUUAUUGGUGGGAGUGCUCAUCCCAUAAUAAGGUACCUGAGCUGGGUUCAAUACG